CGAUAUAUCUCUAAUAAUCAAAACCCUAAUAAUAAUAGUGUUUUUAAUGGGCUCCUUGGAAAACAAAUCCGGUUUUCUAAAAUAAAUUGGAUUCUGAAAAGAAAUUCGCAGGCUGACUUUCAGGCCUGAUUCUGGGCUGCUCCAGUUGGAUAUUGACAUCUGGACCACUUUAAACUUGUAGAAAAUUCCGAUAUCUUCGUGUGGGCUGUUGAAUCGCCCAAUUCUGAUGUCCAGAACUCAAGUUAUGGCCCAAACAAGAUUUGCUUUGCAGUCUAUCCAUAAAAUCCGAAUUUCUAUCUGAUUAAGCCCAAAUAAGCUUGAUUUAAUCCAACUUUAGGAAUAUUUAUUUUCCUGCCAUUAAACACUUAAAAUCAAUUAGUAAUAACCCGAUUAUUUACAAAAUACUAAAAUUAUGGGAAUAAAAUCAUAUAAAAGCAUAUAUAAAUAUAUGCUCUAUCAA
Molecule: long non-coding RNA, 460 nt
Filed under: Daucus carota (carrot)
Lineage: Eukaryota; Viridiplantae; Streptophyta; Magnoliopsida; Apiales; Apiaceae
Description: long non-coding RNA (DCAR_LNC001186)
Source: RNAcentral